This is a long non-coding RNA of Oncorhynchus keta (chum salmon), 383 nucleotides long. RefSeq lists it as uncharacterized. The record is from RefSeq and is a predicted model, not a curated record. Lineage: Eukaryota; Metazoa; Chordata; Actinopteri; Salmoniformes; Salmonidae. The transcript is spliced from 3 exons.
AUUACUGUCUAUAGGGGUUGGCUCAGUACUACUGUCUAUAGGGGUUGGCUCAACAUUACUGUCUAUAGAGGUUGGCUCAGUACUACUGUCUAUAGGGGUUGGCUCAACAUUACUGUCUAUAGAGGUUGGCUCAGUACUACUGUCUAUAGGGGUUGGCUCAGUACUACUGUCUAUAGGGGUUGGCUCAACAUUACUGUCUAUAGAGGUUGGCUCAGUACUACUGUCUAUAGGGGUUGGCUCAGUACUACUGUCUAUAGGGGUUGGCUCAGUACUACUGUCUAUAGAGGUUGGCUCAGUACUACUGUCUAUAGGGGUUGGCUCAGUACUACUGUCUAUAGGGGUUGGCUCAGUACUACUGUCUAUAGGGGUUGGCUCAACAUUAC